Caenorhabditis elegans is the source of this 117-nucleotide small nucleolar RNA. The record is from Ensembl. Lineage: Eukaryota; Metazoa; Nematoda; Chromadorea; Rhabditida; Rhabditidae.
ACCCCGAAAUUCGCCAAUAUUUUCCGAUUUACGAACGCGGCUAUCAAACUUGUCGAUAGACAGCAAAGUGAGUUGAACUUUUGCGAAAAAGGAAAAAAAGGCGAGGGCAGCUGGUUU